CCUACGGGAGGCAGCAGUGGGGAAUAUUGGGCAAUGGAGGAAACUCUGACCCAGCAACGCCGCGUGAAUGAUGAAGGUCCUCGGAUUGUAAAGUUCUUUUCUAAGGGAAGAAGAAAGUGACGGUACCUUAGGAAUAAGCCUCGGCUAACUACGUGCCAGCAGCCGCGGUAAUACGGAGGAGGCAAGCGUUAUCCGGAUUGACUGGGUGUAAAGGGUGCGUAGGUGGAUUGAUAAGUUGGUGGCGUAACUUCGAGGCUGAACCUCGGCACUACUACCAAGACUGUCGGACUUGAGUGCAGGUGGGGCAGCUGGAAUGCCUGGUGUAGCGGUGGAAUGCGUAGAGAUUAGGAAGAACACCAGUGGCGAAGGCGGGUUGCUGGACUAUAACUGACACUGAGGCACGAAAGCGUGGGGAGCAAACAGGAUUAGAUACCCUGGUAGUC
Molecule: ribosomal RNA, 443 nt
Filed under: uncultured bacterium
Lineage: Bacteria
Description: partial 16S ribosomal RNA
Rfam family: Bacterial small subunit ribosomal RNA
Source: RNAcentral